AGAAGACCCGACCGUCCUGGGAAUCGUGUGAUGUUGGGAGGUUACUGGUUACAGAAGCUGAAAGCCAAUGGCCAUGAAUUGUCUCCAGAGCUAUUCCAACGAGCAGCACAGGAAGCGGCUGCCACACAGUUAGGACUGAAAGAGCAACCAAGCCAUUGCUUGGUCCAUCUACACAAAGUGAGUUGAGAUAAAUUCUUAUUCAUUUCCCACCGAAAGCCUUGAAAGUGAAGACGGGCAUGUUAACCAAGCCAAGGCCUUGGAAAUCAUUAAUAAACUUUCCCUUGCAUCUUA
RNAcentral lists this long non-coding RNA (291 nucleotides) under Rattus norvegicus (Norway rat). RNAcentral's name for it is "long non-coding RNA NONRATT008962". Lineage: Eukaryota; Metazoa; Chordata; Mammalia; Rodentia; Muridae. The record is from RNAcentral.